Molecule: ribosomal RNA, 406 nt
Filed under: uncultured bacterium
Lineage: Bacteria
Description: partial 16S ribosomal RNA
Rfam family: Bacterial small subunit ribosomal RNA
Source: RNAcentral
AUUGAACGCUGGCGGCAGGCCUAACACAUGCAAGUCGAGCGAGUGGCGGACGGGUGAGUAAUGUCUGGGAAACUGCCUGAUGGAGGGGGAUAACUACUGGAAACGGUAGCUAAUACCGCAUACCAUCGGAUGUGCCCAGAUGGGAUUAGCUAGGAGGUGGGGUAACGGCUCACCUAGGCGACGAUCCCUAGCUGGUCUGAUAGGAUGACCAGCCACACUGGAACUGAGACACGUUCCAGACUCCUACGGGAGGCAGCAGUGGGGAAUAUUGCACAAUGGGCGCAAGCCUGAUGCAGCCAUGCCGCUUGUCUGAAGAAGGCCUUCGGGUUGUAAAGUACUUUCAGCGGGGAGGCGUUACCCGCAGAAGAAGCACCGGCUAACUCCGUGCCAGCAGCCGCGGUAAUAC